ACUUUGAUAGGCUACUCACGUAAUAUUCUCCAUGCAAAAUUUCAUCAAAAAGUCACUACGUAGCAUCACACAUCACAAAAGACGAAAUCCCCAAUAAGGAGAUAUUGAACGCCACUUCAACUUCUAUACAGUCUACACUGAGGAAAAGGCACUCAAUAUGUUCAUGUUGUCUGCAAGUGAUUCCAGACGUUUCAGCAUGGGCAACAUUUCACCUGUAUCACCCUUUAUUCUGUUUUGAUGGCCAUUUAUAAUUGGAGAGCAGCAUUGGAAUGCAACAGCUUGUCUGGCUUCGUCUGGUCCUAAGUUACACCAAAUAAAACACAUCACGAGUUACUUACUAAAAUCUAAACAAAUUAAGAUUAGGAUUUUUAGCUUAAAUUUCAGCUGAAGUUUUUGUGUGACCUAGGUGCUUGUGAGUUGUGACAAUAGAAAACAAAGGUAUCCAAUCCAAUAAUGCAAGCUGUGUCAUCCAAAGCAAAAUAGUUUCUACUGUCAUUUAAUGUUUAUGAUAAUAUUUCGGGUUAACUACCCCUGUCAAAUCGUGGUAAAUCUUCAAGAUAUUGAUGCCUUCCCCAGAUCCAAUUCUUUGCUGCUUUCUCUUCUCUUUUGCAGAUAAGAUCAAAAUAAUGCUACCACUCAAAAGAUUGUGGUGACUACUUAGUUCUAAUUUAGGACAAAUUAACAUUGAUAGAUUUGAGGGCGAGAUUCUCACCACCGUUAUAGUUGUUCGGAAACUGACAGCACUAACCAACGCUCACCGGUGGGCACACUGGGAUAAUUAGGAGGAUGAGGAGGGCUCUGAUGCGACUAUACAUGUACUUCCGCUGCGACACACCUCACUCACAACUGGAUUCUGCCCAGGGAAAACUGCUGGAGUAAUCUGGUGUUCAUGCUCAUUUGAUUCAUUUCGUG
RNAcentral lists this long non-coding RNA (912 nucleotides) under Daphnia pulex (common water flea). Its description in RNAcentral is "uncharacterized LOC124208231, transcript variant X4". The record is from RNAcentral. Lineage: Eukaryota; Metazoa; Arthropoda; Branchiopoda; Diplostraca; Daphniidae.